RNAcentral lists this ribosomal RNA (460 nucleotides) under uncultured Acidimicrobiales bacterium. Its description in RNAcentral is "bacterial SSU rRNA". It matches the Rfam family "Bacterial small subunit ribosomal RNA", at positions 28 to 505 of the family's 1533-position model. Lineage: Bacteria; Bacillati; Actinomycetota; Acidimicrobiia; Acidimicrobiales. The record is from RNAcentral.
GACGAACGCUGGCGGCGUGCUUAACACAUGCAAGUCGAACGAACUCGACCUUCGGGUCACAUGAGUGAGUGGCGAACGGGUGAGUAACACGUGAGAAACCUACCUCAGAGUUUGGGAUAACCAAUGGAAACGUUGGCUAAUACCAAAUACCCUCCUUUGAUCGAGUGAUCGAAGGAGGAAAGAUUUAUCGCUUUGGGACGGUCUCGCGGCCUAUCAGCUAGUUGGUGAGGUAAUGGCUCACCAAGGCAUCGACGGGUAACUAGUCUGAGAGGACGAAUAGUCACACUGGAACUGAGACACGGUCCAGACUCCUACGGGAGGCAGCAGUGGGGAAUAUUGCACAAUGGGCGAAAGCCUGAUGCAGCGACGCCGCGUGGGGGAUGAAGGCCUUAGGGUCGUAAACCCCUUUCGCUAGGGAAGAAAAUGACGGUACCUAGAGAAGAAGCUCCGGCUAACUACG